UUUGAUCUCAUUUUUACGUGUUUUCCUUCUCUCCUUUCGCUUUCUCAGCAGCCCAACAGAGUGUCUCAAAGAAGGAUUUUUCUUUGGUGUUUUUGUUUCGUUAUAGAAACAUGGUUUAAGGUUUUGGUUGUUUGAUUCUGUGAAUUUGGGGUGUUGAUUGGGCGGUGUUUGGUUGGUAAAAAAAUGUAGGAAAAGGAAAGGAACGAUAACAUUAUAUUGAGCACAGUAGAUUGAUUUGUUUGAGUUAUUAACUGUUUUUAUUUGGAAGCAAAUGGAAAAAUAAAGCAUAAUACUCGAAUCACCUUUGUUUUCUGGUUUGCCAAACGAGGAUUAGGAUUUCUCUGCGCAUAUCCCGCUCAGUUUGGUUUGAAUCACCUAAUCCCAAACCCGGGCUAGGGUUUUUUUUUUCCCUCUGGAUCUGCCAUUUUCUGGUAUUUUUUUCCAUCUUCUAUUACCGUCUUGACAUGUCAACCUGGAUUGCCAAGAAAAAUGUGGGAAAAUAAAACGAAAUAAAGUGAUGUUGGUUACCGUCUGUCAAAACUGGUUUUGAUAAUUUUUCAGAAUGGAAGAGAUCAAAAUCAUGUAAACAAGCCCUGAAAAUAUUUUCCUCAAAACCCUAACCUCUUGGUUUAAGUGGGUUUUGGUAGUGAACUAGAUUUCUCAGAGCGCAACCAGACUUAAGUCAGGUAUCCACCCUUAUAUUCAAAACUAUGGUUGAUACAGUUACAUGUCUGGGAAAUUAACAGGGGCCUAUCGUUACAGAUGUCCUAAUGCUUUUCAAGCUCACAUCUGCUCCAUUUGGCCCCUACACAUGCUAGCUUAAUGCAACAAUCUCGGUUUGUUGGAUAGAAUGGCUAUCUAAUUCGAUGAACUUAGGAUCUUAGAUAUAAAAGAAAUUGUUGUUUUAGAUAAUCUUUACUGCAAUGGGUACUACAACUAAAAAUUAUUAUUAUUGUGAUUAGUAUUAUUACUGUUGUGUCUAAGUAAUUGAUGACUAUUCAUCUGAAGGCAUUCAGAUAAAUAUAUGCUAUUUGAGAGAUGGCUACUAUGGUUGGGGGUGAUAUUGUAAUUGAUUGGUUUCCUUUUGACUAGUUGAUGAUUGACCUGCCUGUGCUUUGUAAUAAAUUAAUCAUAGAACUCAGCUUAUAAUUCUGCAUUUAUUCUAAUGUAAAAAUAAUGCAAAUGUGUCAAGGUCGCUACAACCAUCAAUGGUUUUUAAAAAAGGUAAUUGAAUGCCUCAAAGAUUACCUUUUCAAUCAUUAUUCCCAUCCAACCCUUGGGGAUUUUGCACUUACAAUCAUGAAAACUAUCACAUCGUUGGCCUAGUAGAUUUUUUUUUUUUUUUUUUUUGAUAACCGUGGAUGUCCGGGCCAGCUUACGCGCACCUCGACUAAUCCCACGGGGCCCUGAAGUUAACGACCGGGUAAACCUCCAGUGGCCCUGAGGGGACUCGAGCUGGUGACCAUUGGGGAGCAAACCCAAGGCCUGACCAACUGAGCUACCCCUCAGGGAUCGUUGGCCUAGUAGAUUUUGUUUCAUUAUAUCCAAACAAAUUAGAGCUUGCAACUCUUCAUGCAGCAGAUACCUGGCAUAUGAGAUGUACAAAGGUUUCAGUUUGUGUAACCUGACUAGGGUUGUUAUUAGUCACCCAUAACCUUCUGUUUCUUAUUGAUUUUUAUUUUUUUGCAUCUUUGCACUCGCCCUAUGGGGUUAGUCAUGGACUAAACAUAUAUGCCCAUGAUGGGCCCAGCUUCAGAAUAUUGGUUUUCUAGCUUUACAAAUCUCUUAUGAUGUACUUCUAUUACAGAUUUGAAAUGUACUCAUGCUUUGAGUCCUAUUUUCGAUUGCAG
RNAcentral lists this long non-coding RNA (1850 nucleotides) under Vitis vinifera (wine grape). Its description in RNAcentral is "long non-coding RNA (VVIN_LNC001149)". Lineage: Eukaryota; Viridiplantae; Streptophyta; Magnoliopsida; Vitales; Vitaceae. The record is from RNAcentral.